Long non-coding RNA from Fundulus heteroclitus (mummichog), 1102 nucleotides. RefSeq lists it as uncharacterized. The record is from RefSeq and is a predicted model, not a curated record. The transcript has 2 exons. Lineage: Eukaryota; Metazoa; Chordata; Actinopteri; Cyprinodontiformes; Fundulidae.
CAAACGUUACUGGUCCCAAACCAUCCAGGCCUUAAAGGACACCGCCGAGAAUAACCGCAGGUUCGCUGACCGUAAACGCAUCCCAGCCCCGAGUUAUCAACCAGGUCAACAAGUCUGGCUCUCCACCCGUGACCUCCCCUCCCGAGCAGCCUCACGCAAACUGUCCCCACGAUUCACGGGCCCCUACGAGAUAACCUCCAUACCCAGCCCCACGACUGUCCGUCUCCGCCUCCCAUCCCACUCCCGAGUUCAUCCCACGUUCCAUGUCUCUCAGAUCAAGCCAGUCAACUCCAGCCCCUUGUGCCCUCCGGCCGAACCCCCACCACCCUCCCAGGACCAUCAUGGACGUCAGAUCCAACGGAUCGUGGCCUCCCGUCGACGAGGUAAGGGGUUCCAGUAUCUCGUCGACUGGGUGGGCCGCGGUCCCGAGGAUCGGUCCUGGAUCCCGGGCUCCGCCAUCCCGGACCGCUCAUUCAUUGACUCGUUUCUCUCCUCUCGUCCGUCUACGUCCUCCUCUGGGCCGCCAGGUGGCGACCCUUGAGGGGGGGUGGUGUCAGGACUCAGCUGGCAGGGCCAUGCAGCCUGUUGCCAUCUUUGCUUCGUCCACAGGUGUUCGCGGUUGGCUGGUGGGCGGAGUAGGCGCACCUGCAGCUCGUCAGCAGCACCGGAGCUGCACUAUAAGAUCUGCACUCGGACAGCGGGUGGAUGCCUGAGUGUUACCGUUGUGGUACCUCCUCGUGCUCCUUCGUCCUCCUUCGAGCUCCUCAGUCCUACUCGUGCUGCCUCUUGGGAUUUCCCCGUUCAUCUUGAGUGGAGCCUUGCUUCUCGGACGAGACGCACUCCCGACGACUCCCAGGUUCCAUCCGCUGUCCUGAAUCCUCCGGUGCUGCUCGGACCUCUCGCCCCGCUCUCAGCCGCCCGGACACCUACGACCAACAUUCAGCUGAGUCCACACUGCCGUCCUCCCCGGUCGGGUUUCUUGCACCUCGUGAUCGACCUGGUCCCCGCCGCCCGAGUUCCUGCCCGAGUAUCUUCCUGCCCGCAGAUUAGCUUCGCCGACUAGCAUUCUCGCCUGUGUAAACAAUAAACCUUUUAAAACUUA